AGAAUCAACGCUGGCGGCGUGCCUAACACAUGCAAGUCGAACGAGAAAGUGGAGCAAUCCAUGAGUAAAGUGGCGCACGGGUGAGUAACACGUGACUAACCUACCCUUGAGUGGGGGAUAACCUAGGGAAACCUGGGCUAAUACCGCAUAAUACCUUCGGGUCAAAGGAGCAAUUCGCUUAAGGAGGGGGUCGCGGCCGAUUAGUUAGUUGGCGGGGUAAUGGCCCACCAAGACUGUGAUCGGUAUCCGGCCUGAGAGGGCGCACGGACACACUGGAACUGAAACACGGUCCAGACUCCUACGGGAGGCAGCAGUGGGGAAUUUUGCGCAAUGGGGGAAACCCUGACGCAGCAACGCCGCGUGGAGGAUGAAGUCCCUUGGGACGUAAACUCCUUUCGAUCGGGACGAUUAUGACGGUACCGGAAGAAGAAGCCCCGGCUAACUUCGCGCCAGCAGCCGC
Molecule: ribosomal RNA, 460 nt
Filed under: uncultured bacterium
Lineage: Bacteria
Description: SSU rRNA
Rfam family: Bacterial small subunit ribosomal RNA
Source: RNAcentral